UUGGAGGAAGCUAAAGAAAGCCUUCUCUCACUAUAUCAAAUUAUAGAUCUAUUCUGUAAAACAUCUCUCUCUCUCUCUAUCUCUGUUUUUGCCUGUGUUGAAUCUAGUGCCAUAUUUCCUCUUAGAUCUACCCAUCAACCCAUCUGAAUCCAUUUCUAUGGCACUCCAUCAACAUUCCGAACUACUUAUCAGUCACCAACCAAUGAUCUCUUUUCUGGUGAGGAGCUCCUUUUUUUUUGGUGCCUCUAUUUCAAUUGUUAGAUUCUCAUGUCCUGGUUGGUAAUCGAUAUUAGGUUGUCUUUUUUGAUUGCAAGUAGGGAAAACCACAUCGAUCAAGCAACUAUCUUCUGAUCUAGUUUUUUUUUGGGUAUUUGGUAUCUGAUGCUUUGAUUUUAUUGAAUUUUUAAUGAAAACGAUUGUUUAUUGGACUAGGCGCUUUAUAAGGUUUAACUUCUACAAGUUCAGAUCUUCAGGAUAUGGAACAGAAAGCUGCAACAGCAUAUGAUCUAGCUGCAACAAAAAACUGAAAUAUGCCAACCCCUCCUCCAAUCAUCAUCAUGUCAGUAAUAUGGAUUUAAGAACUUCAGGAAACGACGAACAAGAGAAGAGAAAGAUUUGUUACUUUCUCAAGCAGGUAAAUUUAUGUUAUAGCUACACAUUAUUUGUCAUUAAUUGACUGGACUGGGAACACUUGAUGAAAUCCCAAAAUAUGAGACAUCUCUUUGACUCAUUAUAGUUUUCAUUUGUAUUGAAAAUGUAUCUCUAGUAUUUUAUCGAUCUACACUAUAGUGUUUCGUAUAUUAUUGACUAGAGUUUCUAGGCUUGGAGAGGGAUUUGGUAAACUCUGUCAACUGUGCAGGAACUUGGAUAGUUGAUGAUAAAAUAGCCAUCAAACCUCAGAUACUUUUCUAUAAACCAUGGUACUGAAAUGCUAAUAACUACAUUACAAUUAUUGUCAUUUGCAUUUCUAGGAUAAAUUAGUUUUACCAAAACCUACAAGCUUAGCCUUAUGUUAUAAACUUGUGAUAGUUUACUGCUCUACCAUCAAAGUUCUUGUGUUUGAUGACUUUGAUCAUAUGGCUUCAAGGGAAAUUCAGUUCAUGUUGCUUAUUACUUGUUAAAUCCAAGAAAAAUGACAACAUUGAAACAAUUUAAAUUUGUGAAUUGAAGAUGAUUCAAUGCCACUGACUAAUCAACCGCAUCUCAUAUGCUUGUUAGACUAAUCAACGUAUUCAUGUUCCAAACGGUGAAUUUCUGCUAUUGCUGCAUGUCUCGAUCAAACUAUAGUAUCAGUUAAUUGGGCAGCUACAAAAGCAUAUGAUAGAACAAACCUUAAGCACGGGAGCACACAAGAAUACGUUACUCACUGAGAAGGAUAAUUUAUAUCAAGUCCAACUUAGAGUAUCCAGCUUCCAUGUUGAAUUUUGAAGAGCCUGAACUGGUGUUCAAGACAAAGAGAAGUUAAGGCAAGGUCAAUUAGUAUAUGGUAUGUAGAGAUUACAGAUCUACUUAUGUAUAAAAUUUUCAGUUCAUGUUAGAGCUGUAGUUGGAGCCUGGGAGAAGUUGAGGUCAUAAGCCAUUUGGUUUGUUGGUUAGUAUUUAGAGAAGUAUAACACUAUUGAUGUACUAAAGUUUGCAUAGGAAGAUUUAUUUAUCUAUUUAGUUGAUUUUUACAAUAUAGGAAAUUAUUGU
Molecule: long non-coding RNA, 1692 nt
Filed under: Rosa chinensis
Lineage: Eukaryota; Viridiplantae; Streptophyta; Magnoliopsida; Rosales; Rosaceae
Description: sRNA RchiOBHm_Chr7g0189241
Source: RNAcentral